UCUAGUAUGAGAAAUUAACGAUUUAAGUCCUUCUUAAAUGAGGCCAUUUACCCAUAGAGGGUGCCAGGCCCGUAUAACGUUAAUGAUUACUAGAUGAUGUUUCCAAAGAGUCGUGUUGCUUGAUAGUGCAGCACUAAGUGGGUGGUAAACUCCAUCUAAAACUAAAUAUAACCAUGAGACCGAUAGUAAACAAGUACCGUGAGGGAAAGUUGAAAAGAACUCUGAAUAGAGAGUUAAACAGUACGUGAAACUGCUUAGAGGUUAAGCCCGAUGAACCUGAAUAUCCGUUAUGGAAAAUUCAUCAUUAAAAUUGUAAUAUUUAAACAAUAUUAUGAUAAUAGUGUGCAUUUUUUCCAUAUAAGGACAUUGUAAUCUAUUAGCAUACCAAAUUUAUCAUAAAAUAUAACUUAUAGUUUAUUCAAAUUAAAUUGCUUGCAUUUUAACACAGAAUAAAUGUUAUUAAUUUGAUAAAGUGCUGAUAGAUUUAUAUGAAUACAGUGCGUUAAUUUUUCGGAAUUAUAUAAUGGCAUGAUUAUCAUUGAUUUUUGUGUUUAUUAUAUGCACUUGUAGGAUUAACAAUGCGAAAGAUUCAGGAUACCUUCGGGACCCGUCU
Molecule: ribosomal RNA, 613 nt
Filed under: Drosophila takahashii
Lineage: Eukaryota; Metazoa; Arthropoda; Insecta; Diptera; Drosophilidae
Description: eukaryotic LSU rRNA
Rfam family: Eukaryotic large subunit ribosomal RNA
Source: RNAcentral